GACGAACGCUGGCGGCGCGCUUAACACAUGCAAGUCGAACGAGAAGCUGUAGCAAUACAGUUGUAAAGUGGCAAACGGGUGAGUAAUGCGUGGGUAAUCUACCCUAGGGUGGGGAAUAACUUCCCGAAAGGGGAGCUAAUGCCGACAUGUGCACCACUCUCGCAAGGGAGUGUUGGAAAGCCGUACCGAGGGUGCGGCGCCCAAGGAUGAGCUCACGUCCUAUCAG
RNAcentral lists this ribosomal RNA (226 nucleotides) under uncultured bacterium. Its description in RNAcentral is "partial 16S ribosomal RNA". It matches the Rfam family "Bacterial small subunit ribosomal RNA", at positions 28 to 244 of the family's 1533-position model. The record is from RNAcentral.